RNA transcript from Pezoporus flaviventris, 977 nucleotides. It is a transcript of the gene named neuromedin S, with no coding region annotated. The transcript is spliced from 9 exons. The record is from RefSeq and is a predicted model, not a curated record. Lineage: Eukaryota; Metazoa; Chordata; Aves; Psittaciformes; Psittacidae.
GAGGAUGCCCUGGGACUUGUUCAAUAUGAAAGUUCACAUCCCAUCAGAUUAGAAGGCAAACUUUACUUCCCAAGCUGCCACAAGAAGAAACAUUUUCCAAACACCAAGUAAGCCCUACCACAAAACUGAAUGUUCCAUUUGAAGUGAAAAUCCCAGCAGCUCCGUCGCUUCUCCUUGCGCAGCCCCUUCUUACCCUCCCUCCUGUCUGUCACCUCUUCUAGGAAACCAGCUUUUACGGGGGGUUACAAAGGGAGGGAGUGACUGAUGCCGGACUCCGACAACCUCCCGCGAGCGGGGUUUUCCCGCUCACACCGGUCCGGGGGCGCGGCGGCGGGAGCGGUGCGCGGGGCCGCCCCGGCGCCCAUUGGCUCUGCGGCGGCCCGGGCUCGACGCGGCCCCAUAAAGGCAGCGGGUCGGUCCGUCCGUCCGCUCGGUUGCAGCUGCCCAGCCAUGCCCUCUCCGCCGCACGUCCUGCCCUGGCUGCUCGCCGCCUGCUGCCUCUGCGCCCUCCCGCGGGGCUCAGGGUUCCCCCAGCCUUUUUCGCUCUCCUGGGACGGUGCGGACUUGCCCAAAAGCCAGCUGGCAUUGUGUUUCAGUCAGUGGAUGGAACUGUCUAAUCAACCCCAGAUCUCCAGCACUGUUUUGGAUCUCUGUUAUUCCAUAUUCAAUAGUAUGCAAACAAAUGAGAGCUCAAGAACCAAAACAUCCACUUACACCUGGGGAAUCACAGGUUGCUGCUGCAAAGUUUACAAAGAAGGAUAGUCAUGCAACUCUGGGACGGCCUUUUUUCCUUUUCAGGCCUCGGAAUGGAAGAACUGUUGAAAGCAGUGAAUACCAUGGAAUAUGAAGUUCAUUGGUCGACUUACCAGUGCGAGGACUUGGUUUACAUAAAGAAACUUCCCAUUGCACUAGUUGUCUAUUAUGUGACUCAGUUGUCUGGAUUUUGCUGUUCCAUGUAAUAAAUUUGCAAUCGUUAA